AGGAAGGCAAAGGGGGGUCCCCCAAAAAUGGUGGGGGUCCCCGGAGGAAGGGGGGGCCCCCCCUGGGUGGGACGGUGCGUUUGGGGGGGCGGGAGUUCAGCGGGAAGAGGCUGGAAGCCUUCGGCCUCAACCCCCGCCGGCUCCGCUUCCGGCAGCUGCGGCGGAGGGGGAAAAAUAGCGGGAAUAGCGGGGAAAAUACUGGGAAAAAUAGCGGGAAAAAUAGUGGAAAUAGCGGGGAAAAUACUGGGAAAAAUAGCGGGAAUAGCGGGGAAAAUAGCGGGAAUAGCAGGGAAAAUACUGGGAAAAAUACCAGGAAAAAUAGCGGGAAAAAUAGCGGGAAUACCAGGGAAAAUACUGGGAAAAAUACCAGGAAAAAUAGUGGGAGUAGCGGGGAAAAUACUGGGAAAAAUAGCGGGAAAAAUAGCGGGAAUAGCGGGGAGAAUACUGGGAAAAAUACCAGGAAAAAUAGUGGGAAUAGCGGGGAAAAUACUGGGAAAAAUAGCAGGAAUAGCAGGGAAAAUAGCAGGAAAAAUACCGGGAAUACUGGGGAAAAUACUGGGAAAAAUACCAGGAAAAAUAGUGGGAAUAGUGGGGAAAAUACUGGGAAAAAUAGCAGGAAUAGCAGGGAAAAUAGCAGGAAAAAUACCGGGAAUACUGGGGAAAAUACUGGGGAAAAUACCGGGAAUACCAGGGAAAAUAGCGGGAAAAAUACUGGGAAAAAUACCAGGAACACUGGGAAAAAUACCGGGAAAAACCCAGGGAAAAAUCCUGGGAACAUGGAGAAAAAUCCUGGGAAAAACACCGGGAACACGGAGAAAAAUCCUGGGAUCACCGGGAGAAAUUCUGGAAACAAGGAGAAAAAUCCUUGGAAAAGCACCGAGAAAAAUCCUGGGAAAAACCUCGGGAACACCGGGAUAACAGCAGCCGUCAAUGGGAAAAAACAGAAACGCAGGAAAAAUGCCCCAAACCCUCAGGAA
RNAcentral lists this long non-coding RNA (977 nucleotides) under Lonchura striata (white-rumped munia). Its description in RNAcentral is "domestica (Bengalese finch) lncRNA (ENSLSDG00000004033.1)". Lineage: Eukaryota; Metazoa; Chordata; Aves; Passeriformes; Estrildidae. The record is from RNAcentral.